GUUGCAUUCAGUUCAAACCCAUGAUUCAGCAAUAAUAGAGGCCCAUCAGUGUUUUCAAUAGCUCUGUUUUUCUUGGUUGUCCUCACCUAUUAAACACCUUGCCCUCUCUCUCAACUCUCUUCUUUGUAUUUUCCCCUCGCAGUUCAUGAAGCGGUUCACAGCUAUGGAACGUCAUUGCCAUUUUACCUUCCUGUUCGCUCAUUUAUCUCUGAGGAAAACAAGAUCAUGGAUGGCUGCUUCUGCAUCUUCUGUAGGUUCUGUUUUCCAUAGCUGUUGACAUGACUAAGGAACUCUAGGAGAGACUGUCUGUUAACGAUCUGCAAGCCUUGUAAAACUGGAACAUGGGGUAAAAUAAAAGUGGGCCGAAUACCGAUCCCUGCGGAAUACCACUUGGAAAUCAGAUCCAAACACGCUUGACUGACGUCUUACCCAUAUUCCCACCGCCGGGCACCUGUCUGAUUCUGGCACUGUUUUCCCCUCCACAUUUCAUGGUUAAAUUGUACUGAUCCCUGUGAGAGCCGCGCAGUAAUGGCCCAUGAAGAGAAACUGUCUGAAGUAACCAGCCAACAACUGCGGCCAGUUCACCCUGUAGGCCAUUUAUACAGACUUCAUCAAAACAUUGUUUUCCAAUGAGACAAGAACAACUUGAGCUGUAUCUGAAAAGGGGGGACAUUCAAAGGUGGAGGAGAUGGCGAGCACUUAAAGAGGAUAAAGGAAUCCAUUCGAUAUUGUUUGGAACCUUUGGUUUUCGUGUGUCGGUAAAUAAGAGCAGGGCACGGCCUCUCCGGUGAAUGCUCUUUAGUUCGGACAGAUAAUGAGAGAACACUCUACAUACACACACAGGACCGUGUUGAGCCACUUUAAGGUAAUGUUUGAGUGCUCAAAACACCACACACAUGCACUACGGCUUUAUGUAGACACACA
This is a long non-coding RNA of Sinocyclocheilus rhinocerous, 924 nucleotides long. RefSeq lists it as uncharacterized. The transcript is spliced from 3 exons. The record is from RefSeq and is a predicted model, not a curated record. NCBI's taxonomy places the organism in Eukaryota, Metazoa, Chordata, Actinopteri, Cypriniformes, Cyprinidae.